Molecule: ribosomal RNA, 250 nt
Filed under: uncultured bacterium
Lineage: Bacteria
Description: partial 16S ribosomal RNA
Rfam family: Bacterial small subunit ribosomal RNA
Source: RNAcentral
ACGUAGGUGGCAAGCGUUGUCCGGAAUUAUUGGGCGUAAAGCGCGCGGAGGCGGCUUCUUAAGUCCAUCUUAAAAGUGCGGGGCUUAACCCCGUGAUGGGAUGGAAACUGGGAGGCUGGAGUAUCGGAGAGGAAAGUGGAAUUCCUAGUGUAGCGGUGAAAUGCGUAGAGAUUAGGAAGAACACCGGUGGCGAAGGCGACUUUCUGGACGACAACUGACGCUGAGGCGCGAAAGCGUGGGGAGCAAACAG